GUAGGUGGCAAGCGUUGUCCGGAAUUAUUGGGCGUAAAGCGCGCGCAGGCGGUUCUUUAAGGCUGAUGUGAAAGCCCACGGGCUCAACCGUGGAGGGUCAUUGGAAACUGGAGAACUUGAGUACAGAAGAGGAAAGCGGAAUUCCACGUGUAGCGGUGAAAUGCGUAGAGAUGUGGAGGAACACCAGUGGCGAAGGCGGCUUUCUGGUCUGUAACUGACGCUGAGGCGCGAAAGCGUGGGGAGCAAACAGGAUUAGAUACCCUGGUAGUCCACGCCGUAAACGAUGAGUGCUAAGUGUUAGGGGGUUUCCGCCCCUUAGUGCUGCAGCUAACGCAUUAAGCACUCCGCCUGGGGAGUACGGCCGCAAAGGCUG
RNAcentral lists this ribosomal RNA (373 nucleotides) under uncultured organism. RNAcentral describes it as "partial 16S ribosomal RNA". It matches the Rfam family "Bacterial small subunit ribosomal RNA", at positions 527 to 896 of the family's 1533-position model. The record is from RNAcentral.